AACGAACGCUGGCGGCAUGCCUAACACAUGCAAGUCGAACGAGACCUUCGGGUCUAGUGGCGCACGGGUGCGUAACGCGUGGGAACCUGCCCUUAGGUUCGGAAUAACUCCCCGAAAGGGGUGCUAAUACCGGAUAAUGUCUUCGGACCAAAGAUUUAUCGCCUUUGGUUGGGCCCGCGUUGGAUUAGCUAGUUGGUAGUGUAAAAGCCUACCAAGGCGACGAUCCAUAGCUGGUCUGAGAGGAUGAUCAGCCACACUGGGACUGAGACACGGCCCAGACUACUACGGGAGGAAGCAGUGGGGAAUAGUGGACAAUGGGCGAAAGCCUGAACAAGCAAUGCCGCGUGAGAGAUGAAGGCAUUAGGGUAGUAAAGCUCUUUUAACAGGGAUGAUAAUGACAGUACCGGGAGAAUAAGCACCGGCUAACUACGUG
RNAcentral lists this ribosomal RNA (433 nucleotides) under uncultured bacterium. RNAcentral's name for it is "partial 16S ribosomal RNA". It matches the Rfam family "Bacterial small subunit ribosomal RNA", at positions 29 to 507 of the family's 1533-position model. The record is from RNAcentral.